RNAcentral lists this ribosomal RNA (79 nucleotides) under Capnocytophaga sp. RNAcentral's name for it is "partial 16S ribosomal RNA". It matches the Rfam family "Bacterial small subunit ribosomal RNA", at positions 1 to 73 of the family's 1533-position model. The record is from RNAcentral. Lineage: Bacteria; Pseudomonadati; Bacteroidota; Flavobacteriia; Flavobacteriales; Flavobacteriaceae.
AUUUUAACGAUGAAGAGUUUGAUCCUGGCUCAGGAUGAACGCUAGCGGCAGGCCUAACACAUGCAAGUCGAGGGAGGAG